RNAcentral lists this long non-coding RNA (7661 nucleotides) under Ananas comosus (pineapple). RNAcentral describes it as "long non-coding RNA (ACOM_LNC004351)". The record is from RNAcentral. Lineage: Eukaryota; Viridiplantae; Streptophyta; Magnoliopsida; Poales; Bromeliaceae.
CGCGCCGAGCUCCGGCACCAGUCCCCGGAACGCCGCGACGUCGUGCUCCUCGUCGCCGGCGAGGCUGCGGAGGUCGCCGCCGUCGGCCUCGGCCUCGACGAAGGCGACGGCGGCGGCGGAGCAGUCGACGGCGACGUCGCCGGUGGCGGGGAGGUAGGCGAGCUUGCCGGCGAGGGGGAGGAAGCGGCGGAGGGUGGCGGAGAGGGAGGAUUUGAGGGAUUGGAGGAGGGCGGGGAAGGGGGGCAGGUCGGGGGAGGGCUCGUAGAUGAGGAUGCGCUGGAUCGGGGGGUAGGCGAGCCAGUGGGUGUCGAAGAGCGAGAGCUUGAUUAAGUUCCCGGGAGGGUUUGGGACGGGGGCGCCAUCCGGGAGUGGGACGUGGCUCACGUUAAGAAUCCGCACCUCCCACAUCAGAAACUGCAAAUUAUGAUGAUGGAAAAAUAACGGAGAUCAAGAAGAGGACGAAGCAGCAGCAGCAGCAGCAGCCGCAGCAGAGAGCCGGAUUAUGAACUGGUGGCUGAAUCGAACGCAGAAGAAGACUAUCAAUACACGCAACUAUAUAUAUAAAUUAUUAUAUACACAUUGCUUUCAAUUCUUUUAAAAAAUAAGACUAAAUUACAUAAAAUCUCCUAUCAAAACAUAAUUUUUUUUUUUUUGUCAUUAAAAAUCUACACUUUAUUUUCAUUAUAAAAUAAAAAAUAGUAAUAAAAAAUUAUGGUGUAAAUUAUGAUGAUAAAAUAAUCAUUUUAUCCCUCAUCAUUUUUUAUAACAAAAGAGAAGUCUAUGAACAUUUUUAGCAUAAAAAAUAUAUAAUAAUAUUUUAUAAGCGGAAUCUAACAAAUCACUAACGGUAGGAGAUGAAAUGAAUAUUUUUUAUUUUGUAAUGAAGGACAAAAUAUAGAUUUUUAAAUAACAAAACAAAUAAAAAAUUAAAUUUUAACAAAAAAAAAAAUCUGUAAUUUAGCCAAGGAAUAAUACCCCACACACACACACACCAAAAGGGUUAUACAAUGUACACUUUAUUGAUCUACUAUCCAUGUGAUUAAUAAAAGUCAUUGUACGUCAUACAUGCCAUUAGUAAGUGAACAAAUAGUUAUUUUUUUAAAAAAAAAUCAACUAUACAAACGGGGAAUAAAUAAAAUUACAAAUUUACCGAUCGUCCGUAGAGCAAGUGAUAAAGAGGUUGAUAGUUGGUACCCGAGAUCCAAGUUCGAUUCAUAGUUGAUUCAUAUUUUCAACUAAAUUUAUUUCUAAAUAAAAAAAAAUAAAGCUUCUAAAGAAAAAUAAAUUUAUUCCUCAUAAAUUUUAACCAUUAAAUAUAAAUUGGAGUUCUCUUUGUUACAGUUUAUUCUUUUUCUCCUUGGGAAUUGGGAUAGUGUAGCGGUGACGAUCGCCUUUUUUGGAAAACCUUCUUAAUUGCUUUGACGAGCUCACCAUUGUCGAUCCGGCCCAGCUUAGCUGCUCGUCUUCGCGCUUAGUAAAUAUUUUAUCUAAUAAUAAAUAUUUUAUUCUUACCUAAUCUAUAUAUUUUAUAUUAAAUUUAAAUUUUUUUUAUUUAAUAUAUAAUUUAGAUAUAAAGAUAUUAUUUUUCAAGAGUAUUUAAUGAGCGAGAGUACAACAUCCCCAUGUAUUCGCUGUCACGUGUGGAUGAGGCAAAUGGUUGGCUCUGUUUGAUUGGUUAACCGCGAGGGGGCGCUCUUCCAAUAUUAUGUACCCUAAGCCAUUUUUUAAGCUAAAAAAAUAAAUAAAAAAAUUAAUUGAACAUAAGAUAGUAGAAUUAAUAAUAUCAACAAUACCUACUUUGGCUUCUGUAUUUACUUUAUUUUAAAAAUAUUAAUUAUAUAAUAAUAAUUUUAUGAGGCGGCAUUUAUUUUAUUUUAAAAAUGUUAAUUAUAUAAUAAUUUAAUGUGGCGGCAAAGACAUUUUUUCUUAUUGUCAUAUUUGAUUAGUUAACGAUACAUUAUGAUUAAAUGACAGAUGUUGAGUUAUUAUAACAAUACAUUAUGAUUAAAUGACAAAUGUCGAGUUAACAAAACAUUAUGAUUUUUAAAGAUACGUAAUCCAAAUUUUCCACAGCAUUGGAGUGUUGGCGAAAGAGUGGGCUGACUUCAGUCGAGUUUGGUGACGUUUUACUUGUUGGGCUGUAUAGUGUUUUUGUCACCUGUGGUCGAUUGGUCGUCAGUCUUUCUUUUUUUCUUUUUUUCCUUUUGCUACUCUUUUUUUUUUUUUUCUGGUCUUCGCGUCUUUUUGAGGCCUUAGCUGCCUCGCCCUUUAUAGCUAAUUUUAUUUACUGAAUGAAUGAAGCGGAUGGCAUGCUACCUUCCUCUCUAAAAAAAAAAAAAAACAAAACAUUAUGAUUAAAUGACAGAAUUGUACGCAAUCAAUCACUAAUAAGAACAUAAUUAAACGCCUCAUCUGUAAUACAAUUUUAAUUAUGAUAUCGCAUAACAAAUAUGACCUCCUCAAUAGUUAAUUAAUCAGCAAGGGUCUGGUCGGCCUCGUUGAGAAAGUGAGCCUUAAACGCAUCGAUGUGGUUCGGGCUCAGCGACACCGACACUUGGACCCCACCGUCCCGGCCCCCGACCAGCACGAUCUCCCCGUCGUGGUUCAUGGACACCAGCCGAAGUCGGUCUCGUACACCCUGAACCGGGGCGACGCCGCCACGUUGGCGAGCCGGUCCAGCGGGAGCACCAUAAACCGGUCCAUCCAGUUAUGAGACAUCGGGUCAUCCAGCGCCUCGCGGAUCGCCGCUUGGAUCGCCGAGGAGGCGCGGGGGAGCGCGUCGGGGCCGGAGAACUCGCCAGCUGGCGCCGUCGCGAAGCAGCCCUUGAUCAAAUUACCGAAGUACCCCUCGUCGACCGGGGGGUCGAGCCGGGUCCGGACGUCCGCGAGGAAGCAGAGGUGGGCGUCGCCGCCGGCCCGGUCCAGCGACUUGGACCGGACGAAGGCGGUCCACGCCAGGGCCGACACCGCCACGAACGUCGAGGGGGGCUGCUGCGGCGCCACGUGGCCCUGCGUGAUUCGCUGCUUCAGCCACUCGAUGCGCUCCGGGGUGACCACGAAGGUUCGCCGCGAUAGCAUGAAGCGGCCUUCAAAAGCGAGAUUCGCAGAGCGCAACUGUUUUUUUUUUUUUUUUUGGUGCAUUGAAAGAAAUAAAAAAUGUUAGACUCCAUGUAAUCACUAAUUACGAAUGUGUAACGUAAUGCCAUCACGAUUCUUAAAAAAAAAUCAUUUAAUCUCGUAUUCGGUUAAUUCUUUUAAAAAAUGUGUUAAAUUAUUAAGACAGAUCAAAUAACUCAAAUGCAAUAAAAAAAAUACUAAUAAACAUAUCAGUGAGACAUUUAAACAGUCAAAUAUUACUUUUGAUAUCAUAAAUUAUAUUAGCUUAAAUUUUGAAUUCAAAAUAUUGUUGACUAAAUCAUAUCAAAUAAAUUAAAAAGUAGAUAGUAAUAUUAAAAUUUUAUAAGAUGAAAUAGUAAAUUUAAAAUAUUUUAUAAUACAUAUAAGUUUUAUAUGUUUUUAUUAAGAAUUUAUUGUGUAUUCACGGUCUUCCCGAGAAGGAACUUUAUUGUGUAGCAGCUACGUAUCGAUAUCAUUUAUAACUAGUCAAUCGUAUUUUUAUUUUUGAGAAGGAAAAUACAGUAAAAAUAUUUUUCUAAAAAUUAUAAUAAAAUAAAAUGGAUGAAAUUUAAAAAUAUUAAUUGAUUGGUUGGAAACGCCACGUGAGUAAUAUGGCUAAUUGACUGCUGUAUUUCUAGAUCAUGAGUAGCUAUUAGAACUUUUUUUAGUUAUCUUACAUUUUAAAAUUCGUACCACAAUUCUGAAAUAACUGUUACUUGAUAAAAGUUUAAGCUAUCAAAAUAGAUUUUAUUUUAAUAUAAUAUAUUUAUAAUAACCAUCUUAAUAUAGAAAAAUUUUUGGCAUGGUUUAUGUGGCUGAACCAAAAGAGCACAACUACCUGAUCUUUGCAGAUUUUAUUGUCUAACUAUAUAAAAAAUUAUAUCUAAAAAUUAUAUACUUAAAAUAGCCUAAUCCCAAUCUUUCUGCCAAAUUAGUGGAUAAUGAGAGGGAAGGUAGGGAUGAAAAGGAAAAAAAAAAAAGAAAAAAAAGUGAGGCCCAACUCCACCGCACCUACCCCGAAAUUAACAUGGAGAUGUCAAAUAGUAUUGGGACUCGAGGUUCAUAUAUGGUUAUAGAUUAUAAAUGUUGUUGCAAUGGAUAAGGACUCGAAAAGAGUAUGUGCAUCCCAACAUUAAGGCAUGUUUGUUUCAAUGAAAGUGGGGCGAAAGUGGAGAGGAGGGAAGUCGGUUUCGCCCUAAACGAUCAUUUCUGUUAUUGGCUUGCCGUAAAAAAGUUACGGUCGAAACUCGAGUUAAUCUCAAACGGCGUAAUUUGCUUCAUCCCAUCGGGGGCGAAGUCGAUUACGGUAAAAAUAGAUAAAAAAUUAAUAAAAUAAUAUAAUAGAUAAAGCUAUUAUAUUUAAAUAUAUUUAAUUAUGUUACUAAUUAUUUUCUUAUUCAGUUAAUAUAUCUAAAAUAUGAUAAAAAUCGAUUAGUUAAGUUUUAAUAUUUUUUUUAUUUAGUUUGUACAUUUAAAAUAUGAUAAAAAUUGAUUAAUUAAGUAUUAAUAUUUUUUUGCUUUAUAAUUUUAUUAUUGUAUUACUAUAAUUUAUGUAUAAAAAAAUAAUUUAGUUGUUUUAAAUUAAAUUUUAAUUAUAUAAAAAUAUAAUUAUAUUAUUUUUAUUUAUUAAAAUAUUUAUUAUUUAUAUAUAAAUUAUAGUUUUAUAUUAUACACUUCCUACCAAACAAACAGCAGAACUGAUACAACUUCACUUCCAUAACUACGAAACAAAAAGCAGAAAAGAAAUAGUUUUUACCGAACUCCAGUUCAACCCAAAGUCCACUUCAACCCAUAGUCUACAUGUUUGUUUGGGUGGAAGUAGGGUGGAAGUGAAGAGGAGGGAUGUCAUUUUUGCCCUAAACGACUACUUCCGUUAUUUGGUUUGCCGUAAAAAAGUUACGGUUGAAACUCAAGUUAAUCUCAAACGGCGUAAUUGACUUCGUUCCAUCGUGGGCCGAAGUUAAUUAUGGUGAAGAGAGGUGAAAAAAAAAUAAAACAAUAUAAUAGAUAAAGCUAGUUAUAUUUAAAUAUAUUUAAUUAUGUUACUAAUUAUUUUUUUAUUCAGUUAAUAUAUCUAAAAUAUGAUAAAAAUUGAUUAGUUAAGUUUUAAUAUUUUUUUAUUUAGUUUGUACAUUUAAAAUAUGAUAAAAAUUGAUUAAUUAAGUAUUAAUAUUUUUUUACUUUAUAAUUUUAUUAUUGUAUUACUAUAAUUUAUGUAUAAAAAAAUAAUUUAGUUGUUUUAAAUUAAAUUUUAAUUAUAUAAAAAUAUAAUUAUAUUAUUUUUAUUUAUUAAAAUAUUUAUUAUUUAUAUAUAAAUUAUAGUUUUAUAUUAUACAUUUUCUACCAAACGAACAACAAAACUGAUGAAACUUCACUUCUAUAACUACGAAACAAACAGCGGAGAAGAAGUAGUUUUCACCGAGCUCCAGUUCAACCCAAAGUCCAGUUUCGGUGAAACAAACAUGCCCUAAGAGCUCCAAUGAUAUCAUAUUUAUUUAUUUCUAAGGCUAAAUUACAGAAAACCUUUCUAUCAAAACUCAAUUUUUUUAUUUUUUUCCUUGUCAUUUAAAAAACAUACACUUUGCCUCCUUGUAAAAUGAUAAAUGUUCACAGGGGGUACGGUGUGAACUGUGAUGAUAAAAUAAUCAUUUUGUCCCUCACCAUUUUGCCUCUCACCAUGUUCACAGAAGAGAAGGUUGAGGACAUUUUUGCCAUAAAAAAUAUAUAAUAAUAUAUUAUAAACGGAACCCUAACGGAUUACUAACGAUAGGGGGCGAAGUGAAUAUUUUUUAUUUUACAUGGAGGCAAAGUGUAAAUUUUUAAUGACAAAGAGGAAAAGUAAAAAAUCAGAUUUUGACAGAGAUGUUUUAUAUAAUUUAGCCUAUUUAUAAUUAGACAAAAUUUUAUAUAUUAAAAGAUAUAAAAGUAGACAGUAAAUUAUUUGUGAUUUUUUCAUACAAAAUAUUUACUUAGUAACAAAAACUAGAAAGAGUAAAUUUUUUUUUGGCAUCUAAUUUUUUAAAUAAGCUGUCAUCUACGACUUAACCGGAUACAUCAUAAGCUAGCUAAUCACGAUAACAAAAAAGAUUUUUCUUCGGCAUAUUAAAUUAUAUAGAAUUAAUAUUUAAAAGAAUAAAAAAUAAUAAUGAUAUUAAACGAGAUCUAAACUUUUUAAUUAAUAAGCUACUUGGCACUCGAUUCGAAACAAUUAAUUUUGUCCAAACAUGAGGAGGUCAAAGAAAAAAGAAGAAGAGUAGCUGUGAAUGACAAGAGGUAGUCCCAAUAACACGAAAAGAUGAAUGUGCAACGGACUUUGGAGUACAGACAAAAAUUUUAUGGGCAUCGUGAUCAAAUAAUUUGUUUGGGCACGGUGCCCGGAUGGGCGCCGCGUGUGCAGCGAUGCCCAUCCGCACCCUCCCUUCCCCCUCUCUUUCUCUUUGUUCCUAAAAAUCGAGCCCACCAUUUUUUAUUUUUUAUUAUUUUAGGGUGCGGUGGGCGCAGCUACACACGCAACGCCCAUCGGAGCACCGUGCCUAUAAAAUUAUUGUCCUUGGAGUACUAGCUUUGGAUGUAGAUCAAAAGCAUACGCCUUACUUAGCUCAAGAGAGUGAGUUAUAACUUCUAGGCCGUUUUUAAGAUCUAUUUGGAGCUGUAAUUUAUGUUUGCGUCUGCUUUCAAGAGAACAGUUUGACUAGAUGCGGUUGCGCAUGGCUAGACGUGGUGUCUUCCCAGCAAUGAUAAAGAAAAUUUGUACUUUAAUAACUUGUCAGUUUGAAUAUUAAUAAAUCAUUGAGAAUGGCUUCGCAGAUAAGGCUAAUUAUUGUGGCGUGAUUUGACUUUGACUGUAUGUACCACCGAAUAUCUGACGUACAAAAACCAACUGAUUUAAGACAAAUAGGGGCGGCUCCGAAGGAAGCAGUAAGCAUCAAGAUAAAAAAGUUGGAGAUGUGACAGCUGUCAAUACGGAUAAGUAUUGCAAGUUGAGCAUGCACGUAUACGCACCUUAGGAAGAUCCGGCGUGAACCGCCGCGCGAACUCCCGCGCGGCCUCGUCGGCCCUCGGGUGCCUGAUCAGCGCCCGGUCGAACGUCGGCGGCGCCCCGAGCUCGGUGUCGGUGGCCCCGCGGCACUCGGCCGCCCACGCCGCCAGGAACUGCCACACCGCCCGGCCGUCCGCGACAGCGUGGAGGGCCGAGACGCCGACGACCGCCCCGCCGCCGGCGAGCCUCGUGGCCUGCACGGACAGCACCGGCGCCGGCAUCUCAUCCGCGCCGAGCUCCGGCACCAGUCCCCGGAACGCCGCGACGUCGUGCUCCUCGUCGCCGGCGAGGCGGCGGAGGUCGCCGCCGUCGGCCUCGGCCUCGACGAAGGCGACGCCGGGGCCGACGGCAGCGGCGGAGCAGUCAACGGCGACGUCGCCGGUGGCGGGGAGGUAGGCGAGCUUGCCGGCGAGGGGGAAGAAGCGGCGGAGGGUGGCGGAGAGGGAGGAUUUGAGGGAUUGGAGGAGGGCCGGGAAGGGGGGCAGGUCGGGGGAGGGCUCGUNAA